This 255-nucleotide ribosomal RNA is filed under the name uncultured bacterium. RNAcentral's name for it is "partial 16S ribosomal RNA". It matches the Rfam family "Bacterial small subunit ribosomal RNA", at positions 337 to 584 of the family's 1533-position model. The record is from RNAcentral.
UCCUACGGGGCGCAGCAGUAGGGAAUCUUCCACAAUGGACGAAAGUCUGAUGGAGCAACGCCGCGUGAGUGAAGAAGGGUUUCGGAUCGUAAAACUCUGUUGGUAGAGAAGAAAGAGCGAGAGAGUAACUGGUCUUGAUUUGACGGUAAUUAAUCAGAAAGGCACGGCUAACUACGUGCCAGCAGCCGCGGUAAUACGUAGGUGGCAAGCGUUAUCCGGAUUUAUUGGGCGUAAAGGGAAUGCAGGCGGUUUUUU